GGAAAACUUAUUUCAAGGGAGGAAUUUGACAACAUUAUGGCCAAGGAAAAGACUGAACAAAUUGAGUCGACGGAGAUGGAUGAAGCUAGGGCCAAAGCUGUUGACAUUGGAGAAAAUGAUGAUGAAGAGGAUAGUGAUGUUGACGGAGAGGAAGAGGGAGAAGAAGAGAAGCUUAGUGAUUAUUGGAUUGUGUUGAAAAGUACUCCUGAGCUUCACCAGUCAAAG
Molecule: long non-coding RNA, 225 nt
Organism: Glycine soja
Lineage: Eukaryota; Viridiplantae; Streptophyta; Magnoliopsida; Fabales; Fabaceae
Exons: 3
Source: RefSeq, a predicted model, not a curated record